CGAAAUGGCCCCUAUGCUCUUUCUACUUGUUGUAAAAUAUUUUUAAAUUCAUUUCUAUGCUAAAUGGGAUUUAUAUGAAUUUUAGAACACUUAAAAUGCAUGCUUUGUGUAUUAUGAAAAUUUCACUAUAUAGUAGAGCUAUAUGAGUAGAAUGCAUGCAUGCGAAAAAAGUGUUUAUUUUGCAAGUGAAAAAUACAUCUCUUAUGAGGGUUAUGACUUGGAAUAUGUACUUUGGAACAUAGUUGCCAUGCUUUGACAUAGAGAACAAGAGUGUCAUCAAGGGGCACUUGAAACUAGUAAACUAUGAAACUGCAACAUAGAGACAUAUUGAUAGGCCACUACAUAUCUGCUAUAUUCCAUGUUAGAGACAUGAUGACAUAGGGAGUUGGGAUACUUGACACAUUCCAUGUUAUUAGACAUGAGGACUUGGUACUUGCGACAGAUCGUUUGACUACUUGCCAUUGUGCUCAUUCGCACAUGCUUGUGAGGGUCGCUCCCUACAAGCCGGCACUCCGGAGAUAGCCAUCGCGAUUCAUAUUCGCCGUGCGGGAUUGGGCGCCGAAGUGGAUUGCCGUGGGACAGGCUCAUUCCUAGGGUGGGGAUGAUGACUACCACGGGGCCAUUAGGCUCGGCACCGGCCAGACAGCCUACGGGUGGGUCUCAGGGCCAUAGACAGCCUUCGGGUGGGUCUCUUCAGAUUUGACUUGAGUAUUCAUUAUGACAUGUGGACAGAUGAUGACUUAGAGUAUUACUUGGACAUUGACUAGAAUAGUAAACAACGGAACUUUACUAUUUCGCAUUGUGAACAUUAUGAUAGUUGGAGACUUUUACUUCAUGCAUAGUUGCUUCAUACUUAUGCUAAUUAUGCUAAGUAGAGAUAUCAUGUUGUAGUAAGUUACAUUUUUACUUACCUUUCGCUUUUCUACAUUUAUAGUCACUGACAUCUUUUGUAGCUUUGGGCCUUGUGGUGCAUUCACUGAAGUCAGUAAUUGCCCACUGGGAACUAUUUUUAAUAGUUCUCACGCCCCCGUUUUAUGGUUUACUUUUCAGAGCCUUCGGCACCGGCGGAGGCACGGGAUCGCGGCAAGGGGAUCGCUUAGCUAGCUAGCGAGGAGCGGUACUUUGCCUAGGUGGUUUACUCUUUCUUUUUGUAGUUUAGAGAGUGAGGGGUUUCUGUAUCCAUGUAUAGAGACCACCUAUGUAUCUACCUAUAGCACUUGUAUCUGGGAUUUCCUUGUAUCACUUUAUGUUUUAUUUAGUGGAUUUAUAAUUUUAUCCUUAUCCUUUGUUGUAGCAUUUAGACAUUUAUUAUGCUCUGAUACUCCUAGAUGUCUUUUAUUAUUGCUUUUAUUAUUGUUGUUUUUAGACGCCUUAUAUGUUUUAGACG
RNAcentral lists this long non-coding RNA (1387 nucleotides) under Ananas comosus (pineapple). RNAcentral's name for it is "long non-coding RNA (ACOM_LNC034798)". Lineage: Eukaryota; Viridiplantae; Streptophyta; Magnoliopsida; Poales; Bromeliaceae. The record is from RNAcentral.